AGUGAACGCUGGCGGUAGGCCUAACACAUGCAAGUCGAACGGCAGCACAGUAAUAGCUUGCUCUUACGGGUGGCGAGUGGCGGACGGGUGAGGAAUACAUCGGAAUCUUCUUUUUCGUGGGGGAUAACGCAGGGAAACUUACGCUAAUACCGCAUACGACCUACGGGUGAAAGCAGGGGAUCUUCGGACCUUGCGCGAUUGAAUGAGCCGAUGUCGGAUUAGCUAGUUGGCGGGGUAAAGGCCCACCAAGGCGACGAUCCGUAGCUGGUCUGAGAGGAUGAUCAGCCACACUGGAACUGAGACACGGUCCAGACUCCUACGGGAGGCAGCAGUGGGGAAUAUUGGACAAUGGGCGCAAGCCUGAUCCAGCCAUACCGCGUGGGUGAAGAAGGCCUUCGGGUUGUAAAGCCCUUUUGUUGGGAAAGAAAAGCAGCAGGUUAAUACCCCGCUGUUCUGACGGUACCCAAAGAAUAAGCACCGGCUAACUUCGUG
This 492-nucleotide ribosomal RNA is filed under the name uncultured bacterium. RNAcentral describes it as "partial 16S ribosomal RNA". It matches the Rfam family "Bacterial small subunit ribosomal RNA", at positions 29 to 507 of the family's 1533-position model. The record is from RNAcentral.